UUGGAGGGCAAGUCUGGUGCCAGCAGCCGCGGUAAUUCCAGCUCCAAUAGCGUAUAUUAAAGUUGUUGCAGUUAAAAAGCUCGUAGUUGAACUUCGGGAUCAAUGGAUUGGUCAUGCCGUUGGUAUGUACUGGUCAUAUUGGUUCUCACCUUCUAAGGAACCAUAAUGUCAUUCAUUUGAUGUUUUGGGGAAUUAGGACUGUUAUCUUGAAAAAAUUAGAGUGUUUAAAGCAGGCUAACGCUUGAAUACAUUAGCAUGGAAUAAUGAAAUAGGACAUCGCAUUCUAUUUUGUUGGUUUCUAGGAUCGAUGUAAUGAUUAAUAGGGAUAGUUGGGGGCAUUAGUAUUCAAUUGUCAGAGGUGAAAUUCUUGGAUUUAUUGAAGACUAACUACUGCGAAAGCAUUUGCCAAGGAUGUUUUCAUUAAUCAAGAACGAAAGUUAGGGGAUCGAAGACGAUCAGAUACCGUCGUAGUCUUAACCAUAAACUAUGCCGACUAGGGAUCGGAUGAUGUUAAUUUUUUAAUGACUCAUUCGGCGCCUUACGGGAAAC
Molecule: ribosomal RNA, 549 nt
Filed under: uncultured Glomus
Lineage: Eukaryota; Fungi; Glomeromycota; Glomeromycetes; Glomerales; Glomeraceae
Description: SSU rRNA
Rfam family: Eukaryotic small subunit ribosomal RNA
Source: RNAcentral